Molecule: ribosomal RNA, 984 nt
Filed under: Triticum aestivum (bread wheat)
Lineage: Eukaryota; Viridiplantae; Streptophyta; Magnoliopsida; Poales; Poaceae
Description: partial small subunit ribosomal RNA
Source: RNAcentral
AUGGGCAAGGGCCAGGCUGUCACCCCCCCUGGUUGCGCACCGUAUCUUGAUCCGGAUACGGUGGCAAGUGAGCGAGGAUCGGGUCGUCGCACCCUUAGUGGAGCGCUACAUCGGCGCCCCGAUGUAGUGGAAAAUGAGCAAGGGUCUUCGCAUUUGACUCGACGAGUGCGAAGGGUAAGGAAGCUAGCCGAGCCUAGCAGGAUUCGCUUAGGUAGCUGGAACGUAGGGUCCCUAACAAGGAAGCUUCGGGAGCUAGUUGAUGCAGCGGUGAGGAAAGGUGUUGAUAUCCUUUGCGUCCAAGAAACCAAAUGGAGGGGACAGAAGGCAAAGGAGGUGGAGGAGGUAGAGGAUACCGGCUUCAAGUUGUGGUACACAGGGACAGCUGUAAACAGAAAUGGCGUAGGCAUCUUGAUCAACAAGAGCCUCAAGUAUGGAGUGGUAGACGUCAAGAGACGUGGGGAUCGGAUUAUCCUGGUCAAGCUGGUAGUUGGGUACUUAGUUCUCAAUGUUAUCAGCGUGUAUGCCCCGCAAGUAGGCCACAAUGAGAACACCAAGAGGGAGUUCUGGGAAGGCCUGGAAGACAUGGUUAGGAGUGUACCGAUCGGCGAGAAGCUCUUCAUAGGAGGAGACCUCAAUGGCCACGUGGUUACAUCUAACACAGGUUUUGAAGGGGCACAUGGGGACUUUGGCUAUGGCAUCAGGAAUCAAGGAGAAGAUGUCUUACGCUUUGCUCUAGCCUAUGACAUGAUUGUAGCUAACACCCUCUUUAGAAAGAGAGAAUCACAUCUGGUGACUUUUAGUAGUGGCCAACACUCUAGCCAGAUUGAUUUCAUCCUCUCGAGAAGAGAAGACAGGCGUGUGUGCCUAGACUGUAAGGUGAUACCUGGAGAGAGUGUUGUACCUCAGCAUAAGUUGGUUGUUGACUUACGCUUUCGGAUUCGUGUCAAGCGGGAUAAGCGUGCCAACGUCGCUAGAACGGAGUGA